CAGCCGCCGCGUUAAUACGUAGGGUGCAAGCGUUAAUCGGAAUUACUGGGCGUAAAGCGUGCGCAGGCGGUUAUAUAAGACAGAUGUGAAAUCCCCGGGCUCAACCUGGGAACUGCAUUUGUGACUGUAUAGCUAGAGUACGGCAGAGGGGGAUGGAAUUCCGCGUGUAGCAGUGAAAUGCGUAGAUAUGCGGAGGAACACCGAUGGCGAAGGCAAUCCCCUGGGCCUGUACUGACGCUCAUGCACGAAAGCGUGGGGAGCAAACAGGAUUAGAUACCCGCGUAGUCCCUGUCUCUUAUAC
Molecule: ribosomal RNA, 301 nt
Filed under: uncultured bacterium
Lineage: Bacteria
Description: partial 16S ribosomal RNA
Rfam family: Bacterial small subunit ribosomal RNA
Source: RNAcentral